RNAcentral lists this ribosomal RNA (908 nucleotides) under Pleotrichocladium opacum. RNAcentral's name for it is "LSU rRNA". It matches the Rfam family "Eukaryotic large subunit ribosomal RNA", at positions 38 to 964 of the family's 3401-position model. Lineage: Eukaryota; Fungi; Ascomycota; Dothideomycetes; Pleosporales; Melanommataceae. The record is from RNAcentral.
GCAUAUCAUAAGCGGAGGAAAAAGAACCCAACAGGGAUUGCCCCAGUAACGGCGAGUGAAGCGGCAAUAGCUCAAAUUUGAAAUCUGGCUCUUUCAGGGUCCGAGUUGUAAUUUGCAGAGGGCGCUUUGGCGUCGGCAGCAGCCUAAGUUCCUUGGAACAGGUCAUCAUAGAGGGUGAGAAUCCCGUAUGUGGGCUGCUUGUCUUCGCCGUGUAAAGCCCCUUCGAUGAGUCGAGUUGUUUGGGAAUGCAGCUCUAAAUGGGAGGUAAAUUUCUUCUAAAGCUAAAUAUUGGCCAGAGACCGAUAGCGCACAAGUAGAGUGAUCGAAAGAUGAAAAGCACUUUGGAAAGAGAGUCAAAAAGCACGUGAAAUUGUUGAAAGGGAAGCGCUUGCAGCCAGACGUGCCCGUAGUUGCUCAUCGGGGGGUUCUCCCCCGUGUACUCUUCUAUGGGCAGGCCAGCAUCAGUCCGGGCGGUUGGAGAAAGACCUGUGUCAUGUAGCUGUUUUCGGGCAGUGUUAUAGGGCAGGUGGAAUGCAACCAGCCUGGACUGAGGUCCGCGCAUCUGCUAGGAUGCUGGCGUAAUGGCUGUAAGCGGCCCGUCUUGAAACACGGACCAAGGAGUCUAACAUCUAUGCGAGUGUUUGGGUGUCAAGCCCGAGCGCGUAAUGAAAGUGAACGGAGGUGGGAACCUUUUAGGUGCACCAUCGACCGAUCCUGAUGUCUUCGGAUGGAUUUGAGUAAGAGCAUAGCUGUUGGGACCCGAAAGAUGGUGAACUAUGCCUGAAUAGGGUGAAGCCAGAGGAAACUCUGGUGGAGGCUCGCAGCGGUUCUGACGUGCAAAUCGAUCGUCAAAUUUGGGCAUAGGGGCGAAAGACUAAUCGAACUAUCUAGUAGCUGGGUACUGCGGA